CCAGCUAGACGCUCCGGCUGACUCGGAAACACACCCCAGACUGCUCCGGGAGCCAAUGAGAGGAAAGAGUCUCCCGUAUGAGCUAAAGAACGCCAGUCGAUGCCGAGGAAGCGCUAGGCUUGGAGAUGUCACGCCUCGCAACCGGGAAAAUGCGCGCGCAACACGCGAAUCCGCGGAAGACCCUCGCGAAUGGACUGCCGACUAACGCGCUUGCUUGCGUAAUUUUCGCGGGACGCCGUCUCUCGUCGCUGUACUAUACUGGUGACUGGUGACAACCGACCUCAACUCUGUGCUGCUAUUUCAAAUGUCAACUAUCAACUCAACUAUCAGUAAAAAUUAUGUUUUGGUUUUUAUUAUUCUAUUCAAUGGUUUUAAUUUUCCUGUCGCGAGUUUAGUUUGCAAGUAAAUUGACAGCAAGCAGAGUCACAGGCAAGUUUUUAUUUUAAAUUGCAUUCCUUGGAGAUGAUUGUACACACGGAUUAUUAUUUCACAGAAGUAUCGUGCAUCGACACUCGCACUCGCCGGCCGUCGAGGAGAUUACACUCAUUAAGAUACCUGAUAAUAAAUAAAAAUAAAAAGUUUUCAGAAGAACAAAGAUUGGAGACAGAGUAGAAAAUAACAAAGAUCCAUAUUUAAGAACAACACUUUACUUUGUCUACUCAAGUAAUAGCGAUAUCCACUUUAUUGAUAACGACUAAAAAAAUAUUUAUGUGUUUUAUAUUUACACACUCACCGAAAAAUUUCUGUCUAUAUAAAUAAUUAAGUAUACAUUUUCAGAUUUUAAUAAAUAUU
Cotesia glomerata is the source of this 792-nucleotide long non-coding RNA. RefSeq lists it as uncharacterized. The record is from RefSeq and is a predicted model, not a curated record. NCBI's taxonomy places the organism in Eukaryota, Metazoa, Arthropoda, Insecta, Hymenoptera, Braconidae. The transcript is spliced from 3 exons.